RNAcentral lists this ribosomal RNA (301 nucleotides) under uncultured bacterium. RNAcentral describes it as "partial 16S ribosomal RNA". It matches the Rfam family "Bacterial small subunit ribosomal RNA", at positions 509 to 807 of the family's 1533-position model. The record is from RNAcentral.
CAGCAGCCACGGUAAUACGGAGGGUGCAAGCGUUAAUCGGAAUUACUGGGCGUAAAGCGCACGCAGGCGGUUUGUUAAGUCAGAUGUGAAAUCCCCGAGCUUAACUUGGGAACUGCAUUUGAAACUGGCAAGCUAGAGUCUUGUAGAGGGGGGUAGAAUUCCAGGUGUAGCGGUGAAAUGCGUAGAGAUCUGGAGGAAUACCGGUGGCGAAGGCGGCCCCCUGGACAAAGACUGACGCUCAGGUGCGAAAGCAUGGGGAGCAAACAGGAUUAGAUACCCCUGUAGUCCCUGUCUCUUAUAC